Molecule: long non-coding RNA, 524 nt
Organism: Amphibalanus amphitrite
Lineage: Eukaryota; Metazoa; Arthropoda; Thecostraca; Balanomorpha; Balanidae
Exons: 2
Source: RefSeq, a predicted model, not a curated record
CUAGCCGACGGUGGCGGAUAGCGGGGAAAAUCCGGGACUGAUAGGUAUCGGUUACUCUCGCCAGGCGGAUUCAUUAUAUAUGUAUAGCGCGGAUAAGUGUCACGUACUCCCUCACACCGGGUUGUCAAGUUUGCCUGGUGGAUUCAUUCACCCGCCAACUGCGGAUACACUUCCCGCGCAUGCGCGUGCGCAUGCGCGUUGCCGGCGGUGCACCUCCGGCAACGAAUCUCGUGCGACGCCAUCUUCCUGACUGUGUUGACGGCGCUGUGGUUUGGCUGUGGUACUGCGUCUGCUGUGGACUUCUGGCUGCUGAAUUUCGCGGAUAGAGGCGUACGAAUCGAAAUGGGAGGUUUCGACCACUGAAAGCCAAGUGGAGAGACGUUGACAGACACAAAACGACCGGUGGAGGAGUGGUGCAUGGCGCAAGGCACCGGGGCCUUAUGACCUUAACUCAUAUUUAGCUCGUAUAAUUCAUGUGUGUGGAUAUUGUUGUACGUCUAACUAAAUAAAUAAAUAAGACCAUA